This is a long non-coding RNA of Macaca mulatta (Rhesus monkey), 2625 nucleotides long. The record is from Ensembl. NCBI's taxonomy places the organism in Eukaryota, Metazoa, Chordata, Mammalia, Primates, Cercopithecidae.
GCAGCUCCGAGAAGGCUCCGCUGGCUCUUGGGAAACCCCGCUGUGCGGCUCAACCCGUCGGUCUCUCUCAAGUUCUCGUCUUCCUCCCCUGGUCCUCCCUUCUCCAGCUCCCCUGCCCUGCCCGAGUCUCGGGCCGCGCCGGCUGAGCCCCACGCGCCCGGAGAAGAGCGCCGGAGCCCCCUGCUGGCCGGACGCGGCAGGCGCGGCGGCCCGCUCGGUCCCCUCCGCCCCGCGGGCGCUGCCCAUCCCGGACCCGCCUCCACCCUCCAGCGCCCUGGCGCUGGGGGCGUGCUAAAAGCAACAGAAAACAAAACAAAAACAAACAAAGCGCCAAAACCCACUCUCACCUCGUCUACUGGUCAAAGAGGAGAAAACAGGGACUUCCUGGUAGAGGUAGUUCUAAUUUAGAAUCCAGAAUAAGAGCAGCCAGGUAAAGAGCUCUUUAGGUUUCUUCCUCUGUGAUACAACCGUAGUCAACAAAUGAAUUGGAAGCAAGCACUCAUUUUGCCCCCAGUGCAAGGAAGUGCCACUUCCUUCAUAGCGAACUCAUCAGAAGCUGAAUAAUGGUAAAUGGAGCAAAGAAAAUGAUGAAUUUUCUUCAAGUAAUGAUUAAAAAUAUACUUAAAUCAAUGAUUAGUCACCAUGUUUUGCAUGUACCUACUAACAUUAAAUUAUAUUUGAAAAAUAUAUGCCCAUUAUACCUUUCUUCUUGAUUGCAUGCAUUCAUUCAUAUUUACUGUAAAAUAUUGCACUAACAUACAUUAAAUGAACUGUGAUUAUUACUUUUAAGGAGUGUUCAUUUUUCUAUUACUGUACAGGUAUCUUUUACUUGUGUUCUAGUAAUUUAAUUUAGAUUGUUGUUUCCUUUCUCUUUCCCAAUUCCAUUCUUAAGCCUGCCGCUAUGGUGCUGUGAUUUCAUCCACACCACCUCAAAAAUAGCAGAUCCCUUAAGCUUUUUAUUUAUUAAGGGAGUGCAAUUAGUGUAAUAUGCAUGAAUUACAAAAGGCUUUGCACCGAACUGAAAGUUUUAUGGAAGAACUUAUAAAAAAUUAUUGCAAUUGUUAUGUUGGAGAGUCAAUCAGUUUCCACAAGGGAUAAUCUCAGGCCCUAUAUUACUCAGUAUUUUAAUCUCUGGUUACAACAAUAGAGUUUACAAGGCAUUAGUUAAGUGACAGUGAACAGCAAGUGGAGUUUAAAUCUGGUCAUUUCUGCUAUCUAGAAUUUGUGGGCGUGAUUACAAAUAUGGAUAUGAAAAUUCUGUUUUUCCAUAAGUUGUCUUUUCUUUUGGAUAAAUAGGUAGGAAUGGAAUUACUGGGUCUAAGUGUAUGCUUAAAUGUAUAAGACACUACAAAACUUUUUCUAAAAUUUCUGUAUUGUUUUUCAUUAUGAUCAGUAAUGUGUGAGAGUUCCCAUUGCUCUGUCUCCUCAGCAGUACUUGGUGUUGUCAGCUUUUAAGUUUAGCUAAUGAGUCUAUUGUGACACCUCACUUUGGAUUUAAUUCGCAUUUUCAUAUGACGAAUGAUGUUGAGCAUCUUUUCAUGCCAUCAAUAUCUCUUUUUUGAAGUGUCUGUUCAAUUCUUUUGCCAACAUUUUUAAAUUGGGUAGUUUGUUAUCCUAGUCUCACUUCAUGAGAGUUUUUUAUAUAUUAUGGCUACAAGUUCUUUUUCAAACACGUCUUUGCAAAUAUUUUCUCCUAAUCUGUGCUUUGCCUUUUCAUUUUCUUAAUAGUGUCUUUUGAAGAGCAGUUGUAGUUUUUAUGGUUCCAAUUUACCAGUUUUUUAAUGAAUUGUGAUUUUUCUGUCUUCUCUAAAAUAUUUUGCUAAUUUAAGAUCACAAAGAUUCUCCUGUGUUUUCUCUUAAAAGUUUUGGGUUUUACAUCAAGGUUUAUGGUUCAUUUUGAGUUUAUUUAUAAAUAUGAUGACAUGAGUAUUUAAAUACUUUUUAAAAAUGUACGUCCAAUUGUUCUGGCAUCAUUUUUGGAAAGGUCAUUCUUUAUACACUGAAUUGCCCUGGCAACUUUAGUAAAUAAUCAAUCUGUCGUAUAUGUUUGGGUCUAUUUCUGGACUCCAUUUUGUUCAAUUGUUCUAUAUAUCAAUGCUUUACAGUAAAUCUGGAAAUUGAGUAAUGAAGGUUCUUCAUUUUUAUUCCUUUAUUUUUUCUUAAAUUGCCUCCAUUAUUCUAGGUUCUUUGCUCUUUGCACCUAAAUUUUAGAAUCAGCUUACUGAUUUUUACAAAAUAAAAACCCUGUACCAAACCAAAACAACAAAAAAAGGCCUGUUUGAGAUUUUGAUUUGGAUUGCACUAAAUCUAUAGACCAAAUCAGAGAGAAUUGAAAUCUUAAGAGUACUGUUUUCUGACUCAUGAACAUGUUAUUCUCUUCAUUUAUUUAGGGCUUUGAUUUAUUUAAAUCAGUAUUUUAUAGUUUUCAGUAUAACAAAUUUUGUAUUUCUUUUGUCAGAUAUAUCCCCAGAUUAUCCCAUUAAAUACCUAAGUUGUUAAUGUUUUCAAUGCUAUUAUAUUUAUAUUUAUUGCAUUAAUUUAUAUAUAAGCAUACUAUUAUAUUUUUCACAUAUUUAAUCUUAUCUGGUGACAUUUAGGAAUGAUUUGUCUUUUUUAAGAACUUAC